RNAcentral lists this small RNA (513 nucleotides) under Pongo abelii (Sumatran orangutan). RNAcentral describes it as "processed transcript". The record is from RNAcentral. Lineage: Eukaryota; Metazoa; Chordata; Mammalia; Primates; Hominidae.
GGGCUUCUGAAGAAGGAGCCUCUCUGGAGUGCGGCGGAGGCGGCGCCUGCGAACCUAACUAGCUCCAGGUUAGGCCGGGCUUUGCGGGAAAGCAGCGGACUUGAAAAUACUGGAAAUCUGUCUGGAUCCAAAUUCUUUUGCAAGCCAGAUGAGUAACCAGAGGGCAUGAAAGGUUGAGAACAUUUGACUUCCCUGCAAACCUUGGUAUAGAUCACUUCCUUUUCUGUAGGAAAGGAAAGGCACCAAAGAGCACAAUGAGUACACUGGAGAUGAAAUUGUGGACCUCACUUGUGAAUCUUUAGAGCCUGUGGUGGUUGAUCUGACUCACAAUGACUCUGUUGUGAUUGUUGACGAAAGAAGAAGACCGAGGAGGAAUGCUAGGAGGCUGCCCCAGGACCAUGCUGACAGCUGCGUGGUGAGCAGUGACGAUGAGGAGUUGUCCAGGGACAGAGACGUGUAUGUGACUACCCACACUCCCAGAAAUGCCAGGGAUGAGGGCGCUGCAGGCCUCAG